Molecule: ribosomal RNA, 467 nt
Filed under: uncultured bacterium
Lineage: Bacteria
Description: bacterial SSU rRNA
Rfam family: Bacterial small subunit ribosomal RNA
Source: RNAcentral
AUUGAACGCUGGCGGAAUGCUUUACACAUGCAAGUCGAACGGCAGCACGGGGCAACCUGGUGGCGAGUGGCGAACGGGUGAGUAAUACAUCGGAACGUGCCCAAUCGUGGGGGAUAACGUAGCGAAAGUUACGCUAAUACCGCAUACGAUCUACGGAUGAAAGCGGGGGAUCGCAAGACCUCGCGCGAGUGGAGCGGCCGAUGUCAGAUUAGGUAGUUGGUGGGGUAAAGGCUCACCAAGCCAACGAUCUGUAGCUGGUCUGAGAGGACGACCAGCCACACUGGAGCUGAGACACGGUCCAGACUCCUACGGGAGGCAGCAGUGGGGAAUUUUGGACAAUGGGCGCAAGCCUGAUCCAGCCAUUCCGCGUGCAGGAUGAAGGCCUUCGGGUUGUAACUAGCUUUUGUUACUAGAACGAACGGACGAGCUCUAAUACAGUUGUCUAAUGACGGUACCGUAAGAAUAAG